Molecule: microRNA precursor, 3226 nt
Filed under: Manduca sexta (tobacco hornworm)
Lineage: Eukaryota; Metazoa; Arthropoda; Insecta; Lepidoptera; Sphingidae
Rfam family: mir-31 microRNA precursor family (bases 543-623)
Source: RNAcentral
CCAACGGCAGAUAGUGCCUACAAUGUUUCCUUGUGUCGCCGUCAGUCAUUCAUGUUACUCCAUGAAUGUAGAAUCGUAGCUCAGUACGUGUAAAUAAUUUCAUAUUUUCCGCAAGACAAUUCUAUAAUACAAAUGUAUACAGGAGUGGGUCAAGCGACGGGCCCGCGCCGUGUCACCAGUGCGUAGGAGCACCGCUGCGUCAUCCACGUGCAUCUCAAAAACCUUUCCACAAAAACUCACGCUAACCGACUAGCGAGGCAAAAGGCGACGAAGCUUUUAAACUUUAGGAACUUUUUCCCGUCGUAUCGCAUUCGUCAAGUGACAAGUACCUACACAAAGUGUCUAAUUAGUAUUCAUCUGGGCGCGUGUAGACCUCUUCGCGGUGGGGACGGGUUAUUAGCCGGCGCCGCCUCCGCGCCCAGGCAUAUUGUUCCGAGUUCUGCCCACCGAGCGCCGUACGCUCGCCCGACCAACGAUAAUUCAUAUUGUCAAUAUUUGUACUGCAACAACGAACCGACGAUUUCACCAGAGGAAGCCGAGCCGGUGGCUGGGAAGGCAAGAAGUCGGCAUAGCUGUUUGAAAAUGAUAUACGGCUGUGUCACUUCGAGCCAGCUCAAUCCACCGGCUUUCUGCAUAAAGAAGAUUUGCGGACGCUGCCGUAACGUGAAAAUUCGGAUCGCUCCCGUAGCGGCGCGACUCCGGCCGGGAGAGGGCGCAUUGACAGCUGUCACUGGGCACUAUUUCGCUUUCUUCGCGGCCGGACGUGGGAGGAAAUCGUUUAUUUUUAUCACACACGACGAUGUUCCCGUAGAGUGCGACCGGCUGUGUACGUGCGUGACGAAACGAUCGAAAACAAGACGACAAAAUGCCGAACGAGGAGGUGUUGGGUCCGCGGAAGACGAUGUUCGUACUAGUGAUUGUUGUGGGAUGUUUCGCGGUGCUGUGGCCCAGGAUUCUGUCGCCGCUGAUCUUGGGCCACUCGCGGGACCAGCUCAAACCGAACGCGUUCGACCGGGAGGCAGGAUGCUGCGAAGUGAUGUUCGAGACAGAACUGGCGGUAUUGGAACUGAUCAACGAGGUAUGUAGUUCAGCAGUCCACGUGGACGGAAAGCUCUCUCCAUACGCCGCGGCGGAGUGUCGCAAAGCCGUCAACGAGACCUGCGGAGUAGAUAUAGCGGCAUUCCUCAAACGAAAUGAGAACAUCGGCAAGACCUCCAAGAAACUAGUCGAGACUAUGAAGAACAGCAACUCCUCGUGCCUUAAGGAGCAUUUUGGCGUGCCCGUCUGGAGUCUCGCUCCUCACCAGGCGUUCAACUCAUGGACCCUACAAGACACUGUAAAACAAGAGCGUCCUCUGAACCGCGGCGCAGGGCCGCAUCCAGCACUGCGAGAGCGGGGCCGCGCGAUUCCUCAGGGCGUGGCCCCCGCGAGACCCGCGACACCGAUGCCGCCCCACGUUCGGGUACGAUCCUCCCCGCUAUCAGUGUACUAUGAGCUGGACAUCAAGCCACCACCGAUCCCGGGCAUGCGGCCCCCGCUCGGCUCGCCCGGGGGUCCGGUGCCCACGCCCAAGUCGUCCAUGGGGUUCGUCAUGCCGAUCUACACGAUAUGCAUCAUAGUGUUCUUCGUGUACACACUUAGCAAGAUCCUGUUCAAGCGCACCGCGUCCCCCUACGAGCCUGUUAGUCCCGACCCCCACUUCAGGAGCAGGGUGUUCCGCGACGACUCCAGGACGUCGCCCGACAAGCUCGUUGUUACUGCAAUAUCGGGCCUGGUGGCAGAGGUACAGCAGCAGAUGGAGGCGAGCUACGCGCAAAACCAGCAGCGACAGGAGGCCCAGGAUGAGCAGGCUCGCCCGUACACGAACGGUACAAUACUUCACAACACCGGCCCGGUGCAUAUCGUCGCCAGCGAAUACCAGGAAGUAUCCAAGGAAAAGACUCCUGAACCUCAGAGGGAAGUGCCAGAACCUUCACCUGAAGUGAAGGAACCUGCCCCUGAACCUGAAAAGCCUCUGUCAAAAGAAUCUUUAGAGACGAAAGAGUCUGAGGAAUUAGAGGCUGAAAAACAAGAAGAAUUGGUUCAAGAAAUACCUGCAACACAAUCUGAAGAAGCAGAGACGGACGAUGUUAAAGAAGAGAAGGGUCCAGAAGAAAAUGACUUAAAACUCGUUGCUGACGAUGAAGUGGACGAAAAUGGUGGCGAAGCUAAAUUCGAUAAAGAAGAAUCGGGUUCAGAGCCAGAGUUAAUAGAAAUUAAUAAUAAAGAGGAUGAACUGAUUAAAUUAACAAACGAUGACGUAGAAAGCGAUGACUACGUCAAAGUGGUACAGGAUUUCUUGAACGAGGAAGCUAAAAUAGACGUGAAAGAAGAGAAACAAUCGACUCCGGAUCUCCUGGAAGUAGCUAUUAAAGAGGACUCGCCUGAUAAACCUGAGGAUGACCAAGAAAAUGCUAGUGUAAAGAUGGUGGUGAGCGGUAAAAUGACUUUGUCACUCAUACAGGACGCACCGAGAGACACUCCUGAGAAGGAUCCAGAAUCAACAGUGGAUGAUUUCACAACAGCCAGUGCAAUCACUCAACCCGCCGCUGAUAAACAAGUUGAAGAAGAGUCCGACGAAGAAAUAGAGAUCGAAGAAGAAAUAGAAGUGGAAGAGAUCGAGGAAGAGGAAGAAGUUGAGGAGAUUGAGGAAGACGAAGAGAACGAACCGGUGGAGGCGAAGAAACCAGAAGCAAAGGAACCAGUCAAAGUGCAAGAAGUAAAGGAAGCUGUUAAAGUACAGGAAGAAGUAAAACAAGCAGAAGAAGAUUCCGAAGAGGAGGUAGAAGUAAAUGAAGAUGAGGAACCAAUACAAGAUUCGAAAUUUGAACCGGUUAAAGAACUAGAUGCCGAUAAAGAAGAAGAAUAUUCUGAGGAAGAAAUUGAGGAAAAUGAGGAACCAGUGAAAGAGUCAGUUAAGGUAAAGGAACCGGUGAAAUUAAAAGAGCCAGUUAAAGGAAAACCAUCUGUAGAACAUUCAGAAGAUGAUAAGGAACAGAAGAAAGCGAAAGGAGAUAAAGAAUGAACUGAUAGGAAUUAACUUGUAGUGAGAGAAUGUUUGGUGGUUCUGUAAAGAAAAAUAUUAAACAAGUAAAAUGGAUUCAAAUAAAAAUACCUACAUUAUUUGGCCCUUUAAAUGGAAUCCAAAGAAGGAAUUAGGAAGGCAUAAUUUUUGAGCACCACCGAA